AGCAUAUCAAUAAGCGGAGGAAAAGAAACCAACAGGGAUUGCCCUAGUAACGGCGAGUGAAGCGGCAACAGCUCAAAUUUGAAAUCUGGCUCUUUUAGGGUCCGAGUUGUAAUUUGCAGAGGGCGCUUUGGCUUUGGCAGCGGUCCAAGUUCCUUGGAACAGGACGUCACAGAGGGUGAGAAUCCCGUACGUGGUCGCUAGCUAUUGCCGUGUAAAGCCCCUUCGACGAGUCGAGUUGUUUGGGAAUGCAGCUCUAAAUGGGAGGUAAAUUUCUUCUAAAGCUAAAUAUUGGCCAGAGACCGAUAGCGCACAAGUAGAGUGAUCGAAAGAUGAAAAGCACUUUGGAAAGAGAGUCAAACAGCACGUGAAAUUGUUGAAAGGGAAGCGCUUGCAGCCAGACUUGCUUGCAGUUGCUCAUCCGGGCUUUUGCCCGGUGCACUCUUCUGUAGGCAGGCCAGCAUCAGUUUGGGCGGUGGGAUAAAGGUCUCUGUCACGUACCUCUCUUCGGGGAGGCCUUAUAGGGGAGACGACAUACCACCAGCCUAGACUGAGGUCCGCGCAUCUGCUAGGAUGCUGGCGUAAUGGCUGUAAGCGGCCCGUCUUGAAACACGGACCAAGGAGUCUAACUCUAUGCGAGUUUGUGGG
RNAcentral lists this ribosomal RNA (645 nucleotides) under Curvularia sp. C2/03. Its description in RNAcentral is "LSU rRNA". It matches the Rfam family "Eukaryotic large subunit ribosomal RNA", at positions 37 to 698 of the family's 3401-position model. The record is from RNAcentral. Lineage: Eukaryota; Fungi; Ascomycota; Dothideomycetes; Pleosporales; Pleosporaceae.